CAGCAGCCACGGUAAUACGGAGGGGGCUAGCGUUGUUCGGAAUUACUGGGCGUAAAGCGCACGUAGGCGGCUUGGUAAGUUAGAGGUGAAAGCCUGGAGCUCAACUCCAGAAUUGCCUUUAAGACUGCCGAGCUAGCAGGUGAGAGAGGUAAGUGGAAUUCCGAGUGUAGAGGUGAAAUUCGUAGAUAUUCGGAAGAACACCAGUGGCGAAGGCGACUGACUGGACAAGUAUUGACGCUGAGGUGUGAAAGCGUGGGGAGCAAACAGGAUUAGAUACCCGCGUAGUCCCUGUCUCUUAUAC
Molecule: ribosomal RNA, 301 nt
Filed under: uncultured bacterium
Lineage: Bacteria
Description: partial 16S ribosomal RNA
Rfam family: Bacterial small subunit ribosomal RNA
Source: RNAcentral